UGAAUGUAUAACCCUCCUGCCUCAGCCUCUCAGAGGGCUGAGCUUACACCACACAGUUUCCCCCUCUUACAAGUCACAGUGUAAGUUUCUCUAGUCCACAUGUGGCAUCAGGGACCCUGUGGGUCCUGCUGUGUCUCACAUGUGUAUACUCAUGUGUCACACAUGCACAUGCUACAAAGUUCGUGUGUGACAAUUUUGGCCCAAUUCUAAGUGCUGUACAGUCUUAAAGAAGCUGCAGAAACAUUUUUUUCUUCCUCAUCCUCUGCAAAACAGGCAUCCUGCUGUGGGGUCAUUUGUGCACAAGACAAAGACCAGGAGGAGCCACGUCUCUGUUCUUCCUCACCCACCAUCCUGCUCGGUCUCCUCUCAGUGCCACAGGCUUCCUCUGCUCCACUCAAGAGCUGUCCUUGCAGGUCAACAAUGGUGAAAACCCUACUGAGGCAGAGGAAAAGCAGCUGCCAGCAGCAGGAAGGAAGCUCUUGCUGGGAGGCUGGCUUCCAGCAUCAGAGUUUUAAUCACUACUAA
RNAcentral lists this long non-coding RNA (525 nucleotides) under Fukomys damarensis (Damara mole-rat). RNAcentral describes it as "lncRNA (ENSFDAG00000025384.1)". Lineage: Eukaryota; Metazoa; Chordata; Mammalia; Rodentia; Bathyergidae. The record is from RNAcentral.